RNAcentral lists this ribosomal RNA (398 nucleotides) under uncultured bacterium. RNAcentral describes it as "bacterial SSU rRNA". It matches the Rfam family "Bacterial small subunit ribosomal RNA", at positions 28 to 428 of the family's 1533-position model. The record is from RNAcentral.
GACGAACGCUGGCGGCGUGCUUAACACAUGCAAGUCGAGCGGUAAGGCCCUUUCGGGGGUACACGAGCGGCGAACGGGUGAGUAACACGUGGGUGACCUGCCUCUAGCUCUGGGAUAAGCCUGGGAAACUGGGUCUAAUACCGGAUAUGACUCCACGGCGCAUGUUGUGGGGUGGAAAGCCUUGUGUGGCUAGAGAUGGGCCCGCGGCCUAUCAGCUUGUUGGUGGGGUGAUGGCCUACCAAGGCGACGACGGGUAGCCGGCCUGAGAGGGCGACCGGCCACACUGGGACUGAGACACGGCCCAGACUCCUACGGGAGGCAGCAGUGGGGAAUCUUGCGCAAUGGGCGAAAGCCUGACGCAGCGACGCCGCGUGAGGGAUGACGGCCUCGGUUGGUAA